RNAcentral lists this ribosomal RNA (396 nucleotides) under uncultured bacterium. RNAcentral's name for it is "bacterial SSU rRNA". It matches the Rfam family "Bacterial small subunit ribosomal RNA", at positions 28 to 429 of the family's 1533-position model. The record is from RNAcentral.
GACGAACGCUGGCGGCGUGCUUAACACAUGCAAGUCGAGCGGUAAGGCCCUUUCGGGGGUACACGAGCGGCGAACGGGUGAGUAACACGUGGGUGACCUGCCCUCAGCUCUGGGAUAAGCCUGGGAAACUGGGUCUAAUACUGGAUAUGACUCCACGGUGCAUGUCGUGGGGUGGAAAGCCCUGUGCGGCUGAGGAUGGGCCCGCGGCCUAUCAGCUUGUUGGUGGGGUGANGGCCUACCAAGGCGACGACGGGUAGCCGGCCUGAGAGGGCGACCGGCCACACUGGGACUGAGACACGGCCCAGACUCCUACGGGAGGCAGCAGUGGGGAAUCUUGCGCAAUGGGCGAAAGCCUGACGCAGCGACGCCGCGUGAGGGAUGACGGCCUGGUGUAAC